AGGAAACAACAUUCCUCUGAUGCUAACUGGUGCUUCUGAGAGCAAAAUGUCAGGGAGGAGAGAAGCAUGGCCUCUCGAGACAAACCCAGGCUGCUAAGAAUGUAAGCUCUGGUCUCACUUUGCGUUCCAGCCAAACACCUAAGUGCUCCUUUCUAUGACCAAAGAAUUCUUCACUGAUUAAAAUCUGGUUACAAAACAAGGGACCUAGAGAGAUGUUCACUUCACCACUUCUCUACAGAUGCCUCCUGCUGCUUCCAACUUUUCUCCUUUAAGGCAGGGUGAAUCCAAAUCAUGGUCUUAGCCCUGAAGGAGGCACCAAAGCAGUUUCGUUGCCCUGUGAAAAGCUUCUAGAGGAGCUCAUCUGAAUGCUUGAAGAAACCAGCCGCCCU
RNAcentral lists this long non-coding RNA (389 nucleotides) under Homo sapiens (human). Its description in RNAcentral is "non-protein coding LINC02478:13". Lineage: Eukaryota; Metazoa; Chordata; Mammalia; Primates; Hominidae. The record is from RNAcentral.